AAAAAAAAAAAAAAAAAAAAAAAAAAACCUCUCGGGCAUGCCACACACCAAGCCCGUGUUAGUGAACUGAACUGAAGGGGUUACAACCCGGCGCCUGGCAUCCUCUUUCUCCAUCAGAUGUCAUUCACAAAUCAAGAUUUGGAAACAAAUGGCAGAAAAAUAUAGUCGUCAGCUUUCUCAAUUCAUUUUAAACCCUAAGAAGCUCUGUCACCAUGUUGUAUUGACUGAAAUUGCUACUGGUAUGCAUACAAGCUGAUCAGCUACAUAUGCACAUUGCAUACAAUCUAUAAAGCGGAAUGGGGAGUCACUGGACUGUGAAAAGGAAGGAAGGUCCUUCACUCUGCACCAGUGCAUGCAAACUGAAUAGCAUGACAAUGCUGCCAGAUAGUGCUGUAUUAAAAAAGAAAAAUCCAUGGCAACGGCAAUAAUGAAGCAAAACAUACAGCACAGAAGUGUAUUACAUCAGUGUGAGAAUACUGCAGAGCAUUACAAAACCAAAAGGUUUACCACAAUAUUUGAAUUCACACUGGCAGGAUUUACCUCAUCUCCCUACUGUGAUGAUUGUAUAUCACAGUGUUUCAAGAAUCACUCAGAACUCACUUUAAACCAUUACACAAGAAAACAAAGAAGAAGGAUGCCCUUUGUAAUGUACUAUGGCAUUCUUCACAAGUUCAAUAUAUUUCGGUGUACAUGGACUUUUCACAGAAACUGUUAGAAUUGCACUGGUUUUUCUUGUUUGUUUAAAUGUAUAAAAACAGAUUAUUUGUUUGUUUGCUUUCUUUAAUACGUGAUAUAUAAAAAACAAAAGGUCACAUUUACACCACAUUUCUUUCUUAAAGAAAAACAAAAAAAACUGUUAAGAAACUUGAUCUGAAAGUUCCUUUAUAUGAUUUAUUAUGUAUGGGAUAUGGGAUCAGGUUGAAAAAACAUACCUUAGGCACCUCUCAGAGUUCCCUUCAACUGCAAAGACAAAGCAGUGACAUCACAAUUUGUCAAGUACAUCAGGCACUUAAAGGAAUUCCCUUCAAAACAAAAACAAAUCUAAAUAUGGUAAAAACUAUUUGCCAGCCAAUAGACUAAAUAAAGACUUGUUAUGACAAACACUUCUAGUUGGAUUUUGUAAUUUAUAUAUUAAUGGCAAAGCAGUAAAUAAUAUAGCUAUAAGAUGAUAUGCUUUGGUGUAUAGGUAACAGAUUGACUAUCUCUGUCUGUUAACUUCUACCAGAGGAUAUUCCCUCAUACACAGAUGCUUGCAGUCCUAUAGUCCUACGGUUUAAUAAAAGGUCCUUGAAACAGGUAA
Molecule: long non-coding RNA, 1300 nt
Organism: Polyodon spathula (Mississippi paddlefish)
Lineage: Eukaryota; Metazoa; Chordata; Actinopteri; Acipenseriformes; Polyodontidae
Exons: 4
Source: RefSeq, a predicted model, not a curated record